Molecule: long non-coding RNA, 450 nt
Filed under: Crocodylus porosus (Australian saltwater crocodile)
Lineage: Eukaryota; Metazoa; Chordata; Crocodylia; Crocodylidae
Description: lncRNA (ENSCPRG00005016699.1)
Source: RNAcentral
CUCAGAAGUAACUGAAUUUAUCUCAACUAAAGAACUCAUAAAUGUGGCCAACCAGGUGUUUCUCUUGGGGUGGAUCAUACUAACAGAUAAUACCUUCCCUUCACUCCCUACAAAGUGAAUUGCCGGUUUUCUUUCCUCCUUUUUUUUCCUCAGUCUAGCCCAAUGUGAGGAAUGUGCUGGAGCUUGAAGUCUUCACUCCCCACCUCCCAUAAGAGAGGAUGGGAGAAGCUUAUCUUUGUGACUCAAAAGUUGUUUCAUCUUUGAAGAAUGAAGAAACCGAUGGGGACAAGGAAAAGAAGACGCGUGUUAAGUUUGAUAGCAUCAUGAGCACAGGACUUAGAGCAACUUCUUGUUCGAGUUAGACCUCUGCACAGCGAAGAAGCAAAAAGUCCUGGAGCCGCAAGGAGAAUACGCAAGAGGGACUUGGACUUAGGCUUGGUGACUCAGGAA